RNAcentral lists this long non-coding RNA (654 nucleotides) under Canis lupus familiaris (dog). RNAcentral describes it as "lncRNA (ENSCAFG00000047655.2)". Lineage: Eukaryota; Metazoa; Chordata; Mammalia; Carnivora; Canidae. The record is from RNAcentral.
GUUUUCUUCUACCUGAGGCCCCAGGCAUCAGAGGCACCAGUGACCAACCACGUUCUGUCUGCAUUCCUGACCCACACAGCUCCUAAGCAUACCAAAUGGUUACGUCAUACCAACCUCUGGGUCAUUGGUUACACAGCCAUAGUAACUGGCACAGUGGGCAAAGUGAAAGAGAACACUGGGACCUCCCGAAAGCAGUUCCACGGCAGGAGUCGUCGGGUGGAACCCACCAGAGCAGUCUGGCCAGUGAAGCUGGCUUCCACCAGGUCUGCGAGGACGGAGGACCCACCUUGGCCACCUGCAGCCUCGUCCCGCUCCCCCAUCGCCCUGGCUGAGGAGGAGCCAGGGGCAUGGCUUCUGCCUGCAGGACGAGCCCUGGAAGGAAGAUGUUUAGGACUUGGGCGUGCACUCCCCACUGCGGCCUUCGUCAGCUCCCCUCCCGUGAGCUCCCCUCCCCGUGAGCUCCCCUCCCCGGGAGCUCCCCUCCCCGUGCUGCGGAGCGCGAUUAGCAGGACAAAGCUGGUGUCGGCCGCGGAGAGGGAGUGGCGAGCGCCUGCGGCCUUGCCCCCAGCUGGCUUCUUGGACCGGCAGCAGGGCCCAAACUGGGGAAGAGACCUAGGGAAUGGGAUCGCUUUGCCAAAAGAAGUCGUUUCUUAA